Molecule: long non-coding RNA, 519 nt
Organism: Homo sapiens (human)
Lineage: Eukaryota; Metazoa; Chordata; Mammalia; Primates; Hominidae
Gene: NFE2L1-DT
Product: NFE2L1 divergent transcript
Exons: 2
Source: RefSeq, marked validated
GUUAGUGGGCUUGGGCGUUGGGUGAAGUAUCCAGGUUGGGCGCUUCCAGCGCUUUCUGUGGCGGGGGAAUGAAGGCCUAGGUCAGGGAAUAGGAAGGUGUAUCGCCGCCAGAGUGCGGAACACCCUCGCCUUGAGGGUUCCCACAGUGACUUGCAAAAGUCUAGUGAGACCCGAGAAUGCUGAGGCGGGACACGAAGCAUGUGGUUCUUGUGGUUGCGACGCUCGUGCCGCCAUCUUGGGUGCUGGCGGCGGAAACCGGUACCCCAACUUCCCCUCGGUGCGAACCUGGAGAAGCCACCCCAGCUGUGAGGGACGGUUGCGCCUCAUGGCCCAGGCAAGGGUACCUUCGCUGGAGCAGUACCGCGGACGGAUAUCAUGAGGGUGGUGGGACGUUGGCGGAACGUUGGCGGAACGUUGGCGGUGUGAGAGGCUGGACUGGAACUCCUGGACUCAAGCGAUCUUUCCAUUUAUCAGGGACUACUGACGCGUGUCUCCCAAUAAAUACCUGAGUAUAAACAA